Molecule: long non-coding RNA, 603 nt
Organism: Acinonyx jubatus (cheetah)
Lineage: Eukaryota; Metazoa; Chordata; Mammalia; Carnivora; Felidae
Exons: 5
Source: RefSeq, a predicted model, not a curated record
GCCCGUGUAGAGGGUGGGAAUCUGAAAUUCGGUCUCUGAGAGCUGCGGGCUGGUUGGAUUUGCCCGAGUGUUGUCCCUUGCCGUUUUAUUAAGAGGCUGCUUUCCCGUUAUUGGCGAUUCUGCUUCUUCCGCUUUCCUCCUGUCUCUUGGUGGGGAUUUAGGUUCCGGCUCGUGGAAAAUAGUCGUGGCCUGGAUUUCAGGGCCCCUGGCACCUCGCACUGAGCUCUCCAGGAAUUAAAAAGCAUAAUGUUUUCCGUGGCAAUGCGAUGUCUUCUGUUCCUCACACCAAACUUCAUGAAGGCCCCAAGCUGGUCUGGUCUUCAGUGUCUGCCCUGAGGGUAAUCAUCAUGAGGGGACCACAAGCAGGAUCACAGAAAAAGAAUAGAGAUGCAAAGUAGUCUGUCCUGAACCUAAACUAACAGGAGGGGGACAGGAGCUGUUUGGGAAGCCAGUGACAGACGUUCAGAAGCCUUCUGUGCAUAGGAAGAAGCAAAAAGCAGCUUAAUGAAUUAGAGAUGAUUGGAGGUGGUUGAUAAGGACCGAGUCCAAAGGGCCAGUACUUAAGUGGCUGAAUAGUGAGGUUACAAGCAGUCAUUAUUAAGG